Molecule: ribosomal RNA, 253 nt
Filed under: uncultured bacterium
Lineage: Bacteria
Description: partial 16S ribosomal RNA
Rfam family: Bacterial small subunit ribosomal RNA
Source: RNAcentral
UACGAAGGGGGCUAGCGUUGCUCGGAAUCACUGGGCGUAAAGCGCACGUAGGCGGCUUUUUAAGUCAGGGGUGAAAUCCUGGAGCUCAACUCCAGAACUGCCUUUGAUACUGGGAAGCUUGAGUCCGGGAGAGGUGAGUGGAACUCCGAGUGUAGAGGUGAAAUUCGUAGAUAUUCGGAAGAACACCAGUGGCGAAGGCGGCUCACUGGCCCGGUACUGACGCUGAGGUGCGAAAGCGUGGGGAUCAAACAGG